AAUAGAUACCCCGGUAGUCCACGCCGUAAACGAUGGAUACUAGGUGUAGGAGGUAUCGACCCCUUCUGUGCCGCAGUUAACACAAUAAGUAUCCCACCUGGGGAGUACGACCGCAAGGUUGAAACUCAAAGGAAUUGACGGGGGCCCGCGCAAGCAGUGGAGUAUGUGGUUUAAUUCGAAGCAACGCGAAGAACCUUACCUGGGCUUGACAUCCCUGGAAUCGAGUAGAGAUACUUGAGUGCCUUCGGGAAUCAGGUGAACAGGUGGUGCAUGGUUGUCGUCAGCUCGUGUCGUGAGAUGUUGGGUUAAGUCCCGCAACGAGCGCAACCCCUAUUGUCAGUUGCCAUCAUUAAGUUGGGCACUCUGGCGAGACUGCCGGUGACAAAUCGGAGGAAGGGUGGGGACGACGUCAAAUCAUCAUGCCCCUUAUGCCCAGGGCUACACACGUACUACAAUGGCCGAUAACAAAGUGCAGCGAAACCGUGAGGUGGAGCGAAUCACAAAAACUCGGUCUCAGUUCAGAGUU
RNAcentral lists this ribosomal RNA (526 nucleotides) under uncultured bacterium. RNAcentral's name for it is "bacterial SSU rRNA". It matches the Rfam family "Bacterial small subunit ribosomal RNA", at positions 777 to 1300 of the family's 1533-position model. The record is from RNAcentral.